RNAcentral lists this transfer RNA (58 nucleotides) under Cricetulus griseus (Chinese hamster). It matches the Rfam family "tRNA", at positions 8 to 63 of the family's 71-position model. From Rfam's summary of the family: Transfer RNA (tRNA) molecules are approximately 80 nucleotides in length. Their secondary structure includes four short double-helical elements and three loops (D, anti-codon, and T loops). The record is from Rfam by way of RNAcentral. Lineage: Eukaryota; Metazoa; Chordata; Mammalia; Rodentia; Cricetidae.
UGGCUCAGUAGUUAAGAGCACUGGCUACACUUCCAGAGGAUCUGGGUUCAAUUCCCAG